GUCUACGUCCAUACCAAGUUGAAAGCACCAGUUCUCGUCCGAUCACUGAAGUUAAGCAACGUCGGGCUCGGUUAGUACUUGGAUGGGUGACCGCCUGGGAACACCGAGUGCUGUAGACU
Molecule: ribosomal RNA, 119 nt
Organism: Lottia gigantea (owl limpet)
Lineage: Eukaryota; Metazoa; Mollusca; Gastropoda; Lottiidae
Source: Rfam